This 379-nucleotide ribosomal RNA is filed under the name uncultured eukaryote. RNAcentral's name for it is "partial 18S ribosomal RNA". It matches the Rfam family "Eukaryotic small subunit ribosomal RNA", at positions 592 to 976 of the family's 1831-position model. The record is from RNAcentral.
CAAUAGCGUAUAUUUAAGUUGUUGCAGUUAAAAAGCUCGUAGUUGGAUUUCGGGUAGGAUUUGCCGGUCCGUCUUUGAGAUGUGUACUGGUAAGUCCUAUCUUCUUGUCGGGGACCAGCUCCUGGGCUUCACUGUCCGGGACUGGGAGCCGACGAAGUUACUUUGAGUAAAUUAGAGUGUUCAAAGCAAGCCUACGCUCUGAAUAUAUUAGCAUGGAAUAACACGAUAGGACUCUGGCUUAUCUUGUUGGUCUGUGAGACCAGAGUAAUGAUUAAGAGGGACAGUCGGGGACAUUCGUAUUUCAUUGUCAGAGGUGAAAUUCUUAGAUUUAUGGAAGACGAACAUCUGCGAAAGCAUUUGCCAAGGAUGUUUUCAUUGA